AUGAAAUUUUUUGGCAUCCAAGAUGCUCGGGUGUGCAAAAUUUUGUUGUGUUUGGACAUUGUAGGAGCUCGUGGGAAAAAAAUAUAUGGCUCGGAAAAAACUUCAAAAAAUAAGCAAUUUUGUUGUUUCGCAAGAGCUCCACGCAUGUCAUUUGAUAACAAAAUUUUGCACACACCUUGCGCAACCGAUCAUCUUGGAUGCCAAAAAAUUUCAUAUUUUUUUUAUUUUUCUUGCUAUUUUUUUGAAUUUACUAUUCACGGGCGUACGAAUUUACUGUUUUUCCUUUGCCAUGAGCUCGUAGAGUGUCCAAACAUCACGAAAAUCUGCACGCACGUUGGGCACCUAAGUUUCUUUGAUCCCUCAAAAUUUCAGAUUUUUAUGAUUUUUUUGCUAUUUUUUUCGAGACGGUCAAAGCCCUUUGACCAGAUGGUAACGACGCUGAAGGGCAUUUCUAUAAGGACACCUAACGGCAGAGGGGCAAAUUUGAGCACCGUUUGA
RNAcentral lists this ribosomal RNA (498 nucleotides) under Triticum aestivum (bread wheat). RNAcentral describes it as "partial small subunit ribosomal RNA". Lineage: Eukaryota; Viridiplantae; Streptophyta; Magnoliopsida; Poales; Poaceae. The record is from RNAcentral.